RNAcentral lists this ribosomal RNA (253 nucleotides) under uncultured bacterium. Its description in RNAcentral is "partial 16S ribosomal RNA". It matches the Rfam family "Bacterial small subunit ribosomal RNA", at positions 524 to 776 of the family's 1533-position model. The record is from RNAcentral.
UACGUAGGGUGCGAGCGUUAAUCGGAAUUACUGGGCGUAAAGCGUGCGCAGGCGGUUCGCCGUGUCCGAUGUGAAAGCCCCGGGCUCAACCUGGGAAUGGCAAUGGAUACUGGCAAGCUAGAGUGCGGUAGAGGGUAGUGGAAUUCCCGGUGUAGCGGUGAAAUGCGUAGAUAUUGGGAAGAACACCUGAGGCGAAGGCGGGUUGCUGGGCCGACACUGACGCUGAGGCGCGAAAGCCAGGGGAGCAAACGGG